RNAcentral lists this ribosomal RNA (505 nucleotides) under uncultured bacterium. Its description in RNAcentral is "bacterial SSU rRNA". It matches the Rfam family "Bacterial small subunit ribosomal RNA", at positions 1 to 507 of the family's 1533-position model. The record is from RNAcentral.
CACGAGUUUGAUCCUGGCUCAGAUUGAACGCUGGCGGAAUGCUUUACACAUGCAAGUCGGGCGGCAGCGCGGGGCAACCCUGGCGGCGAGCGGCGAACGGGUGAGUAACACAUCGGAACGUACCCUGUCGUGGGGGAUAACGAAUCGAAAGAUUCGCUAAUACCGCAUACGACCUGAGGGUGAAAGCGGGGGAUCGCAAGACCUCGCGCGAGAGGAGCGGCCGAUGGCGGAUUAGCUAGUUGGUGGGGUAAAGGCCCACCAAGGCGACGAUCCGUAGCGGGUCUGAGAGGACGGCCCGCCAUACUGGGACUGAGACACGGCCCAGACUCCUACGGGAGGCAGCAGUGGGGAAUUUUGGACAAUGGGGGCAACCCUGAUCCAGCCAUUCCGCGUGAGUGAAGAAGGCCUUCGGGUUGUAAAGCUCUUUCGGCAGGAACGAAACGGCGGGCUCUAACAUAGCCUGUCAAUGACGGUACCUGAAGAAGAAGCACCGGCUAACUACGUG